This 484-nucleotide ribosomal RNA is filed under the name uncultured bacterium. RNAcentral describes it as "partial 16S ribosomal RNA". It matches the Rfam family "Bacterial small subunit ribosomal RNA", at positions 29 to 507 of the family's 1533-position model. The record is from RNAcentral.
AUUGAACGCUGGCGGAAUGCUUUACACAUGCAAGUCGAACGGCAGCACGGGGGCAGCCCUGGUGGCGAGUGGCGAACGGGUGGGUAAUACAUCGGAACGUGCCCGGUCGUGGGGGAUAACGUAGCGAAAGUUACGCUAAUACCGCAUACGAUCUGAGGAUGAAAGCGGGGGACCUUCGGGCCUCGCGCGAUCGGAGCGGCCGAUGUCAGAUUAGGUAGUUGGUGGGGUAAAGGCCUACCAAGCCGACGAUCUGUAGCUGGUCUGAGAGGACGACCAGCCACACUGGGACUGAGACACGGCCCAGACUCCUACGGGAGGCAGCAGUGGGGAAUUUUGGACAAUGCGCGCAAGCCUGAUCCAGCCAUUCCGCGUGCAGGACGAAGGCCUUCGGGUUGUAAACUGCUUUUGUACGGAACGAAAAGGCUCUGGCUAAUACCUGGGGCUCAUGACGGUACCGGAAGAAUAAGCACCGGCUAACUACGUG